This 83-nucleotide transfer RNA is filed under the name Paramesorhizobium endophyticum. RNAcentral describes it as "Brucella endophytica tRNA-Gly". The record is from RNAcentral. Lineage: Bacteria; Pseudomonadati; Pseudomonadota; Alphaproteobacteria; Hyphomicrobiales; Phyllobacteriaceae.
UGCGCUGCUGGACGAGGCCCAUGUCGGCCGGGCUGCCAACCGGGUUGGGCUUUCGCAGCCGGCCGCUUCGGCUGCCUUGCAGC